GGGCGUAGUUCAAUGGUAGAACACCAGCCUUCCAAGCUGGUCACGAGGGUUCGAUUCCCUUCGCCC
This 66-nucleotide transfer RNA is filed under the name bovine gut metagenome. It matches the Rfam family "tRNA". Rfam says of the family: Transfer RNA (tRNA) molecules are approximately 80 nucleotides in length. Their secondary structure includes four short double-helical elements and three loops (D, anti-codon, and T loops). The record is from RNAcentral.